AUUGAACGCUGGCGGCAUGCCUUACACAUGCAAGUCGAACGGCAGCGGGGACUUCGGUCCGCCGGCGAGUGGCGAACGGGUGAGUAAUGUAUCGGAACGUACCAUUGAGUGGGGGAUAACGUAGCGAAAGUUACGCUAAUACCGCAUAUUCUCUCCGGAGGAAAGCAGGGGACCGCAAGGCCUUGCGCUCUUUGAGCGGCCGAUAUCAGAUUAGCUAGUUGGUGAGGUAAAGGCUCACCAAGGCGACGAUCUGUAGCGGGUCUGAGAGGAUGAUCCGCCACGCUGGAACUGAGACACGGUCCAGACUCCUACGGGAGGCAGCAGUGGGGAAUUUUGGACAAUGGGGGCAACCCUGAUCCAGCCAUGCCGCGUGUGUGAAGAAGGCCUGAGGGUUGUAAAGCACUUUCAGUGGGGAGGAGGUUAAUUAGGUUAAGAGCUAGAUUAAUGGACGUUACCCACAGAAGAAGCACCGGCUAACUCCGUGCCAGCCGCCGCAGUAA
This 500-nucleotide ribosomal RNA is filed under the name uncultured bacterium. RNAcentral describes it as "partial 16S ribosomal RNA". It matches the Rfam family "Bacterial small subunit ribosomal RNA", at positions 30 to 523 of the family's 1533-position model. The record is from RNAcentral.